GUUGUAUGGUUAAGUGACUAAGCGUACACGGUGGAUGCCUGGGCAGUCAGAGGCGAUGAAGGACGUACUAACUUGCGAUAAGCGCAGAUAAGGCAGUAAGAGCCGUUUGAGUCUGCGAUUUCCGAAUGGGGAAACCCAACUGCAUAAGCAGUUACUGUUAACUGAAUACAUAGGUUAACAGAGCAAACCGGGGGAACUGAAACAUCUAAGUACCCCGAGGAGAAGAAAUCAACCGAGAUUCCGGUAGUAGCGGCGAGCGAACCUGGAUUAGCCCUUAAGCACUCGGUGAAGUAGGUGAACAAGCUGGAAAGCUUGGCGAUACAGGGUGAUAGCCCCGUAACCGACGCUUCAUCGAGCGUGAAAUCGAGUAGGGCGGGACACGUGAUAUCCUGUCUGAAUAUGGGGGGACCAUCCUCCAAGGCUAAAUACUCCUGACUGACCGAUAGUGAACCAGUACCGUGAGGGAAAGGCGAAAAGAACCCCUGUGAGGGGAGUGAAAUAGAACCUGAAACCGUGUACGUACAAGCAGUAGGAGCACCUUCGUGGUGUGACUGCGUACCUUUUGUAUAAUGGGUCAGCGACUUAUAUUCAGUGGCAAGGUUAACCGUAUAGGGGAGCCGUAGCGAAAGCGAGUCUUAACUGGGCGCUCAGUCUCUGGAUAUAGACCCGAAACCGGGUGAUCUAGCCAUGGGCAGGUUGAAGGUUGAGUAACAUCAACUGGAGGACCGAACCGACUAAUGUUGAAAAAUUAGCGGAUGACUUGUGGCUAGGGGUGAAAGGCCAAUCAAACUCGGAGAUAGCUGGUUCUCCCCGAAAGCUAUUUAGGUAGCGCCUCGGACGAAUACUACUGGGGGUAGAGCACUGUUAAGGCUAGGGGGUCAUCCCGACUUACCAACCCUUUGCAAACUCCGAAUACCAGUAAGUACUAUCCGGGAGACACACGGCGGGUGCUAACGUCCGUCGUGGAGAGGGAAACAACCCAGACCGCCAGCUAAGGUCCCAAAGUAUUGCUAAGUGGGAAACGAUGUGGGAAGGCUCAGACAGCUAGGAUGUUGGCUUAGAAGCAGCCAUCAUUUAAAGAAAGCGUAAUAGCUCACUAGUCGAGUCGGCCUGCGCGGAAGAUGUAACGGGGCUAAGCAAUACACCGAAGCUGCGGCAAUGUCUUUUAGACAUUGGGUAGGGGAGCGUUCUGUAAGCCGUUGAAGGUGAAUCGUAAGGUUUGCUGGAGGUAUCAGAAGUGCGAAUGCUGACAUGAGUAACGACAAAGGGGGUGAAAAACCUCCUCGCCGGAAGACCAAGGGUUCCUGUCCAACGUUAAUCGGGGCAGGGUGAGUCGACCCCUAAGGUGAGGCCGAAAGGCGUAAUCGAUGGGAAACGGGUUAAUAUUCCCGUACUUCUGACUAUUGCGAUGGGGGGACGGAGAAGGCUAGGUGGGCCAGGCGACGGUUGUCCUGGUUCAAGUGCGUAGGCUUGAGAGUUAGGUAAAUCCGGCUCUCUCUAAGGCUGAGACACGACGUCGAGCUACUACGGUAGUGAAGUCAUUGAUGCCAUGCUUCCAGGAAAAGCCUCUAAGCUUCAGAUAGUCAGGAAUCGUACCCCAAACCGACACAGGUGGUCGGGUAGAGAAUACCAAGGCGCUUGAGAGAACUCGGGUGAAGGAACUAGGCAAAAUGGUACCGUAACUUCGGGAGAAGGUACGCUCUUGAUGGUGAAGUCCCUCGCGGAUGGAGCUGACGAGAGUCGCAGAUACCAGGUGGCUGCAA
RNAcentral lists this ribosomal RNA (1763 nucleotides) under Vibrio cholerae. Its description in RNAcentral is "bacterial LSU rRNA". It matches the Rfam family "Bacterial large subunit ribosomal RNA", at positions 1 to 1799 of the family's 2925-position model. The record is from RNAcentral. Lineage: Bacteria; Pseudomonadati; Pseudomonadota; Gammaproteobacteria; Vibrionales; Vibrionaceae.